AUUGAACGCUGGCGGCAUGCCUUACACAUGCAAGUCGAACGGCAGCACGGGUGCUUGCACCUGGUGGCGAGUGGCGAACGGGUGAGUAAUACAUCGGAACGUACCUUAUCGUGGGGGAUAACGCAGCGAAAGCUGUGCUAAUACCGCAUACGCCCUGAGGGGGAAAGCGGGGGAUCGAAAGACCUCGCGCGAUUAGAGCGGCCGAUGCCUGAUUAGCUUGUUGGUGGGGUAAAAGCCCACCAAGGCGACGAUCAGUAGCUGGUCUGAGAGGACGAUCAGCCACACUGGGACUGAGAACCGGCCCAGACUCCUACGGGAGGCAGCAGUGGGGAAUUUUGGACAAUGGGGGCAACCCCGAUCCAGCAAUGCCGCGUGAGUGAAGAAGGCCUUCGGGUUGAAAAGCUCUUUUGUCAGGGAAGAAACACCGGCUCUAACACAGUCCGGGAAUGACGGUACCUGAAGAAUAAGCACCGGCUAACUACGUGCCAGCAGCCGCCGUAA
RNAcentral lists this ribosomal RNA (501 nucleotides) under uncultured bacterium. Its description in RNAcentral is "partial 16S ribosomal RNA". It matches the Rfam family "Bacterial small subunit ribosomal RNA", at positions 29 to 523 of the family's 1533-position model. The record is from RNAcentral.